This 418-nucleotide ribosomal RNA is filed under the name Archimandrita tessellata. RNAcentral's name for it is "partial 12S ribosomal RNA". Lineage: Eukaryota; Metazoa; Arthropoda; Insecta; Blattodea; Blaberidae. The record is from RNAcentral.
GGAUUAGAUACCCUAUUAUUGUAAAUGUAAAUUUAAAGACUUAAGUAGUAGUAGUUAUGAUCUUGAAACUUAAAGAAUUUGGCGGUAUUUUAGUCUAUUUAGAGGAAUCUGUCCCGUAAUCGAUAGUCCACGUGGAACCUAACUUGGUUAAUAAUGUAUGUAUACCGCCGUUUAUUGAAUGUUUUUUUAGGAGAAUAUUUUCUUAAAAUUAUUGAUUAAAUUUUAUUUCAGGUCAAGGUGCAGCUAAUAAUUAAGGGGUGAUGGAUUACAAUAUUUUAAGGUAAACGAAUUAUAAUUUGUAAUAGUUAUAUAAAGGUGGAUUUAAUAGUAAUUUUUUGUAGAUUGUAGAUGUGAUUUAAGCUCUAGAAUGUGUACACAUCGCCCGUCACUCUCAUUAAAUUUAAAAGUGAGAUAAGUC